AGCAGCCGCGGUAAUUCCAGCUCCAAUAGCGUAUAUUAAAGUUGUUGCAGUUAAAAGCUCGUAGUUGAAUUUCGAGACCGGCUUACUGGUCGUGCUAUUGUACGUACUGGUAUAAUCGGUUUCUCCUUUCUGACGAACUAUAAUGCCAUUAAUUUGGUGUUAUAGGGAAUCAGGACUGUUACUUUGAAAAAAUUAGAGUGUUUAAAGCAGGCUCACGCUUGAAUACAUUAGCAUGGAAUAACGGAAUAGGACGUUUGAUUCUAUUUUGUUGGUUUCUAGGAUCGACGUAAUGAUUAAUAGGGAUAGUUGGGGGCAUUAGUAUUCAAUUGUCAGAGGUGAAAUUCUUGGAUUUAUUGAAGACUAACUACUGCGAAAGCAUUUGCCAAGGAUGUUUUCAUUAAUCAAGAACGAAAGUUAGGGGAUCGAAGACGAUCAGAUACCGUCGUAGUCUUAACCAUAAACUAUGCCGACUAGGGAUCGGAUGAUGUUAAUUUU
RNAcentral lists this ribosomal RNA (495 nucleotides) under uncultured Glomus. RNAcentral's name for it is "SSU rRNA". It matches the Rfam family "Eukaryotic small subunit ribosomal RNA", at positions 569 to 1070 of the family's 1831-position model. Lineage: Eukaryota; Fungi; Glomeromycota; Glomeromycetes; Glomerales; Glomeraceae. The record is from RNAcentral.